AGGGCACCACCAGGAGUGGAGCCUGCGGCUUAAUUUGACUCAACACGGGAAAACUCACCCGGCCCGGACACUGGAAGGAUUGACAGAUUGAGAGCUCUUUCUUGAUUCAGUGGGUGGUGGUGCAUGGCCGUUCUUAGUUGGUGGAGUGAUUUGUCUGGUUAAUUCCGAUAACGAACGAGACUCUAGCCUAUUAAAUAGAUCGUUGGCUUACAAACGCCGGCGAGACUUCUUAGAGGGACAGGCGGCGAUUCAGCCGCACGAAACAGAGCAAUAACAGGUCUGUGAUGCCCUUAGAUGUCCGGGCCGCACGCGCGCUACACUGAAGUGAUCAGCGUGCAUUUUGAAACCUACUCUGUCAAGAGUGGGGAGCCCAAUGAACCCUCUUCGUGAUUGGGAUAGGGGAUUGUAAUUAUUCCCCUUGAACGAGGAAUUCCCAGUAAGCGCGAAUCAUAAGUUUGCGCUGAUUACGUCCCUGCCCUUUGUACACACCGCCCGUCGCUACUACCGAUUGAAUGUUUU
RNAcentral lists this ribosomal RNA (519 nucleotides) under uncultured eukaryote. Its description in RNAcentral is "SSU rRNA". It matches the Rfam family "Eukaryotic small subunit ribosomal RNA", at positions 1161 to 1699 of the family's 1831-position model. The record is from RNAcentral.